GAUGAACGCUGGCGGCGUGCCUAAUACAUGCAAGUCGAGCGAACAGACGAGGAGCUUGCUCCUCUGACGUUAGCGGCGGACGGGUGAGUAACACGUGGAUAACCUACCUAUAAGACUGGGAUAACUUCGGGAAACCGGAGCUAAUACCGGAUAAUAUAUUGAACCGCAUGGUUCAAUAGUGAAAGACGGUUUUGCUGUCACUUAUAGAUGGAUCCGCGCCGCAUUAGCUAGUUGGUAAGUUAACGGCUUACCAAGGCAACGAUGCGUAGCCGACCUGUGAGGGUGGUAGGCGACACUGGAAGGUGGACGGGGUCAUGGGUCCUACGGGAGGCAGCAGAAGGCAACGUGCGGCAGAGGGGGAAAGUCUGGCGGAGCGACCCCGCGUGAGUGAUGGAGGUCUUCGGAUCGUAAUGCUCUCUUUCUAGGGAUGAACCGAUUUGUAAGUAAAUGUGCACGUAUUGACGGUAACUAGUAAGAAAGCCACGGCUAACUACGUG
Molecule: ribosomal RNA, 497 nt
Filed under: uncultured bacterium
Lineage: Bacteria
Description: partial 16S ribosomal RNA
Rfam family: Bacterial small subunit ribosomal RNA
Source: RNAcentral